UAAGGAAGGCAGCAGGCGCGCAAAUUACCCAAACCCGACACAGGGAGGUAGUGACAAAAUAUAACAAUGCCGGGCCUUUUCAGGUCUGGCAAUUGGAAUGAGUACAAUUUAAAUACCUUAACGAGGAUCCACUGGAGGGCAAGUCUGGUGCCAGCAGCCGCGGUAAUUCCAGCUCCAGUAGCGUAUAUUAAAGUUGUUGCAGUUAAAAAGCUCGUAGUUGGAUUUCUGGCGUGGUGCGCCCGGCCCGCCGCCGCUAAGGCGGCGAGUGCCGGCGCGCGCCUGCCAUCCUUCCGGAGAGCGUGCCUGCCCUUCACUGGGUUGGGCACGCGAUCUGGAUCGUUUACUUUGAAAAAAUUAGAGUGUUUAAAGCAGGCUUACGCUUCUGAAUACAUUAGCAUGGAAUAAUAAGAUAGGACUUUGGUUCUAUUUUGUUGGUUUCUAGGACUAAAGUAAUGAUUGAUAGGGACAGUUGGGGGUGCUAGUAUUUAACGGCCAGAGGUGAAAUUCUUGGAUUCGUUAAAGACUAACUAAUGCGAAAGCAUUC
This 544-nucleotide ribosomal RNA is filed under the name uncultured eukaryote. RNAcentral's name for it is "SSU rRNA". It matches the Rfam family "Eukaryotic small subunit ribosomal RNA", at positions 417 to 956 of the family's 1831-position model. The record is from RNAcentral.